RNAcentral lists this ribosomal RNA (402 nucleotides) under uncultured Clostridium sp. RNAcentral's name for it is "bacterial SSU rRNA". It matches the Rfam family "Bacterial small subunit ribosomal RNA", at positions 355 to 774 of the family's 1533-position model. Lineage: Bacteria; Bacillati; Bacillota; Clostridia; Eubacteriales; Clostridiaceae. The record is from RNAcentral.
UGGGGAAUAUUGCGCAAUGGGGGAAACCCUGACGCAGCAACGCCGCGUGAGUGAUGAAGGUCUUCGGAUUGUAAAACUCUGUCUUUUGGGACGAUAAUGACGGUACCAAAGGAGGAAGCCACGGCUAACUACGUGCCAGCAGCCGCGGUAAUACGUAGGUGGCAAGCGUUGUCCGGAUUUACUGGGCGUAAAGAGUAUGUAGGCGGACAUUUAAGUCAGAUGUGAAAUUCCCGGGCUUAACCUGGGAGCUGCAUUUGAUACUGGGUGUCUAGAGUGCGGGAGAGGAAAGUGGAAUUCCUAGUGUAGCGGUGAAAUGCGUAGAGAUUAGGAAGAACACCAGUGGCGAAGGCGACUUUCUGGACCGUAACUGACGCUGAGAUACGAAAGCGUGGGGAGCAAACA